RNAcentral lists this long non-coding RNA (1176 nucleotides) under Strigops habroptila (Kakapo). RNAcentral describes it as "lncRNA (ENSSHBG00005019459.1)". The record is from RNAcentral. Lineage: Eukaryota; Metazoa; Chordata; Aves; Psittaciformes; Psittacidae.
AAGCUGCUGCUGCUUUUAUUGUGCUCAUGGUGAGCUCCAAAAUGGUGCCACCGGCAUUCCUCUGGCUCCUCGCUUUCCCACUUACAAGUCCAAUUGCAUGCAACCUCUACGGUUCCUGCUCGAGACCGUCCUGCGACCCGGCAUACAGAGCACGAACAUCCGGCCCCUGGUCCCACAGAUGAAAAGCCAGGACAGAAAGCUGCUGCUGGGGCUCUUCUGCACGUGGUGAGCUCUGCAACGGUGCCACCGGCAUUGCUCUCGCUCCUCGCUUUCCCACCUAAAAGUCCAAUUGCGUGCAUCCUCCACUGUGCCCUCUCAAGGACGUCACGCAGCACAGCACGUACAAAAGGAAUGUCCAGCCCCUGCUCCCACAGCCAAAGAGCCAGGACAAAAUACAGCUGCUGCGCCUCUUCUGCAUAUAUAGAGCUCCCCAACAGUGCUACCGGCGUUGCACUUGCUCCUCACUUUCCCACUUGAAAGUCCAAUUUUAUGCAACUUCUAAGGCCCUUCCUUGAGUCCCUUCCACAGUAUGACACAAAUGUCCGGCGCCUACUCCCACAGCCGAAGAGCCAGGACAGAAAGCUGCUGCUGGGCAUCUUCUGCACAUACAGACCUCCACAAAGGUGCCACCAGCAUUGCUCUCGCUCCUCGCUUUACCACAUAAAACUCCAUCCGUGUGCUGCCUCUCCUCUCUGGUGCCCACUCUCAGAUGUCCUUGAGCAAGGCUCAGAGAGUGCGAAUGUCCAGCCCCUGCUCCUACAGCUGAAGAGCCAGGACAGAAAGCUACUGCUGGGCAUCUUCUACAUGCAGUGAGCUCUGCAAUGUGCCACCAGCAUUGCUCUCGUUCCUUGCUUUCCCACGUAAAACUCCAUCUGCCUACUGCCUGUAAUGUCUUUUGCCUGCUUUCUCGCAUCCUGGAGCACGGCUCACAGAGUGCUCUCAUCUGUCCCCUGCUCCUACAACCGAAGAAAUGGGACGGAAAUCUGGUGCUGGGCAUAUUUUACACGCGGUCAGCUCUGCAACAGUGCCACCAGCAUAGCUGUCGCUCCUCACUUCCCUACCUAAAACUCCAUGUGCCUACUGCCUCUUCUCUCUGCUGCCUGUCCUUGGGCUUCCUGGAGCACAGCUCAUCGAUUGCGAUCUUCUGGGCCCUGCUCUCUCAGCUGAAGAGCCAGU